CCUACGGGAGGCAGCAGUGGGGAAUAUUGCGCAAUGGGCGAAAGCCUGACGCAGCGACGCCGCGUGAGGGAUGAAGGUCUUCGGAUCGUAAACCUCUGUCAGCAGGGAAGAACGGUCACUGUGCUAAUCAGCAGUGAAUUGACGGUACCUGCAAAGGAAGCACCGGCUAACUCCGUGCCAGCAGCCGCGGUAAUACGGAGGGUGCGAGCGUUAGUCGGAAUUACUGGGCGUAAGGCGCUCGUAGGCGGUAUGGUAAGUCCAGGGUGAAAUCCCCGCGCUCAACGUGGGAACUGCCUUUGAAACUGGCAAGCUGGAGGGUGUGAGAGGAUAGUGGAAUGCCAGGUGGAGGAGGGAAAUCCGUAGAUAUCUGGAGGAACAUCAGUGGCGAAGGCGACUAUCUGGCACAUAACUGACGCUGAGGAGCGAAAGCGUGGGUAGCAAACAGGAUUAGAUACCCUAGUAGUC
RNAcentral lists this ribosomal RNA (465 nucleotides) under uncultured bacterium. RNAcentral's name for it is "partial 16S ribosomal RNA". It matches the Rfam family "Bacterial small subunit ribosomal RNA", at positions 338 to 795 of the family's 1533-position model. The record is from RNAcentral.